GGAAAUGUAGCAAAGAUGGUCAAUGCAGCGGACUGAAAAUCCGAUGAUGCAGGUUCGAGUCCUGCCGUUUCCACAAAGG
RNAcentral lists this transfer RNA (79 nucleotides) under Cytophaga hutchinsonii ATCC 33406. RNAcentral describes it as "tRNA-Phe". It matches the Rfam family "tRNA". From Rfam's summary of the family: Transfer RNA (tRNA) molecules are approximately 80 nucleotides in length. Their secondary structure includes four short double-helical elements and three loops (D, anti-codon, and T loops). The record is from RNAcentral. Lineage: Bacteria; Pseudomonadati; Bacteroidota; Cytophagia; Cytophagales; Cytophagaceae.